AAUUUUGGACAUUGUGCGCAAGCCCGAUCCAGCCAUGCUGCGUGAGUGAAGAAGGCCUCCGGGUCGUAAAGCCCUUUCGGACGGAAAGAAAACGCGCAGGCUAAAACCCUGCGCGGCUGACGGUACCGUCAUAAUAAGCACCGCCUAUCUACGCGCCACCAGCCGAGGUAAUCCGUAGGGCGCGAGCGUUAAUCGGAAUUACUGGGCGUAAUGCGUACGCAGGCGGUUAAUUAAGACAGGCGUGAAAACCCCGGGAAUAACCAGGGAACUGCGCUUGUGACUAGUAAGCUAGAGUACGGCAGAGGGGGGUGGAAUUCCACGUGUAGCAGUGAAAUGCGUAGAGAUGUGGAGGAACACCGAUGGCGAAGGCAGCCCCCUGGGCAGAUACUGACGCUCAUGCACGAAAGCGUGGGUAGCAAACAGG
RNAcentral lists this ribosomal RNA (424 nucleotides) under uncultured bacterium. RNAcentral's name for it is "partial 16S ribosomal RNA". It matches the Rfam family "Bacterial small subunit ribosomal RNA", at positions 360 to 776 of the family's 1533-position model. The record is from RNAcentral.